AUUGAACGCUGGCGGCAUGCUUUACACAUGCAAGUCGAACGGUAACAGGCCGCAAGGUGCUGACGAGUGGCGAACGGGUGAGUAAUGCAUCGGAACGUGCCCAGUCGUGGGGGAUAACUACUCGAAAGAGUAGCUAAUACCGCAUACGAUCUAUGGAUGAAAGCGGGGGACCGUAAAGCCUCGCGCGAUUGGAGCGGCCGAUGUCAGAUUAGGUAGUUGGUGGGGUAAAGGCUCACCAAGCCAACGAUCUGUAGCUGGUCUGAGAGGACGACCAGCCACACUGGGACUGAGACACGGCCCAGACUCCUACGGGAGGCAGCAGUGGGGAAUUUUGGACAAUGGGCGCAAGCCUGAUCCAGCAAUGCCACGUGCAGGAAGAAGGCCUUCGGGUUGUAAACUGCUUUUGUACGGAACGAAACGGCUCUGGUUAAUACCCGGGGCUAAUGACGGUACCGUAAGAAUAAGCACCGGCUAACUACGUG
This 482-nucleotide ribosomal RNA is filed under the name uncultured bacterium. RNAcentral's name for it is "partial 16S ribosomal RNA". It matches the Rfam family "Bacterial small subunit ribosomal RNA", at positions 30 to 507 of the family's 1533-position model. The record is from RNAcentral.